GGCGCCAUUUUGUGAGCGCGGAGCUCACUUGGUGCUCGCUGGCUGCCCUUCCCGGGCCUUAGCGACUGGAAGGACCAGGAUUUUCAGUGUAAGGUGCCCAGGAGUAAUGUGAAUAAUGAGAGCAGCAUAUGAGCAGGAGACAAGAUUCCCUCUUACAACCUGACAUGGAGUCCUUCCACUAACAAUCACCAUGGAGGAGCAUGUAUUCACUCCUUUCCACAUGGCAUGAAAAGGAUACUGAGUUCUACCAGCAUCCUGCAGAAGGAGCAAUACCUGAGUCAGGAGAUGAGCAGUAAAGGGACAUGGUGCUGAAUGUCGUUCUGAAACCUGUUCCCUCCAAGUGGUUGCAGCAUUCACCUAGGAGGUGGGAGACCUGACACCUGACAAUAGCCUCAGACCUGAAUGAACUCCACAAUCCUGUUUUCCUCCUUCCAAACAUGGCUGUGAAGAUAAGUGUAUCAAGGGUUGGGAAGCAGUGAUCUGUAAGUACCCAAGACAGCUAGAAACUCACUGUGCCAGAGCACUCACAGGUCAGAAAAGAGUGACAUCAGUGCCCAGAACUGAAUAUAAUGAAAGCAGUUCUCAGCUUUGUAUUGAAAUAAAUAGAGAGAAGUGCCAAAACUGUGAGACUGUUUUUGUGGAAGCCUUCAGCAGACAUUACUAGCUUCAUUACUAGCUUCAUUAGUACAGUAUGCUGGGAAGGAACAGUUUUAAGAUUGUGCAUUUAUGCUUCUCUAUUUAGUAAAGUAUUACAAUUGACUUUUAAUAGAAAAAACAAACUUAGGCAAUGUCUAAUCUUGACAUUUUGUAUAGUCAGCACAGCACAGGCAAUACCAGUAGUUGUGAAAGAUUUGCUUCCAAAACCAGUGUUACCUAAAAUCAUUCAUUAUGUUCAGAAAUAAAGAAAACCUUGAGAACUUAACAGCUCACCCAGCUCCAUGCUCUCCCUACUGGCAGGGAAUUAUUCAAAGAUGCAGGUAUUACAGCAAAACAUGCAACCAGACUGCUCAGUAGUUAAGCCUGCAUCUGCUUCCAUAGAAGUUCAUGAAAUAAUGCUUAUUUACACCAGCCAAGACCACAUGUAUAAGCCCUCCACUAUUGCUCAGUUCUAUGUUCCUUAAUUCUACUGCAUUCCUCUAAUUUGGAAGAGCUGGUAAGAGUAACAACACAAAAGGAGAAAUAUCACGGUAGAGAGAUGUACACUGACACCUGGUGGAGCCUGGAUACCUUUGCACUACUGCCAGUGUAACCCAUAGUGAUCCACUCCUUCACAUCAAGCAAUAACACACAGCAAGGGAAACAGCACUGUUGGCCCACAUUACCUCCCACUUCACAGGUAAGCCCCAUCCACAUCUCACUGCACAGAGCAGAAGAUUAGCACAUGCUCUGAUAUACUCAGGGCAAAUGACAUCCCAAAGCUAGGCAAAAGGAGCUGUUGCAAGGAUCUGAAAAGCCAGCCUCAAGAGCAGACUCACAGGAUGAGUCAGUGAGCUGCAGGUAGUAAUAGUUGUUGAGGGAACUAGGAUGGAAAGCAUCAUGACACCAUCACCAGAAGUUUCCAGCUUCAUAACUGGCUGCACCAUCCCAUGCCGAGCUUGCUUUGGCCACCUCCAUGAUUGCAGUAGUUGCUAAAUACAAUUACAAACCCAUGAAAGAACAGCAUUGUGAACCCUAGGAUCAGACUUAACAGGUGUUGUAGAAGCCGAGAUAUCUCAUCCAGGUCAGCAAGUUUAUCUAGAAGAGGUUUGAGUGACUGAAGCCUAACAACCUGCCUUUUAAACACAGUAUUACUUCCUCCCCUUGCCCUGUCUGAAUUAUGGACAGCUGUCUGAUUUUGAAUCGUUACUUUGGGGACGUGGGUGGCAAGGGAUUUUGUACGGAAAGGUUCAUGGCAUGACCUGCUCUUGGCACAGCUGCAGCCAACAAGUUGUGUAUUUUGAUGAUUGUGACAGCUGUUCAAAUUUUAACUUACUGGCCAAGCAAAUCGUGAAGGUCUUAUUUUCAGUUCAUUCAAAAUGAUUUGCCUGUCAAGUUCCUCACAUUUAGAGUUUAACUUGAAUUUAUUUAUUUAUUUUUAAUGUUGCCCAGAUUGGUGGUGGAUGCCCCAUCCUUGGAGACACUCAGGGGCAGGCUGGAUGGGGCUCUGAGCACCUGACCUAGUGCAGGUGGCCCUGUUCACUGCAGGGUGUUGGACGAGAUGACCUUUAAGGAUACCUCCCAACUCCAGUGGUUCUGUGAUUCUAUGUUAAAUAUCUCUUUUGUCAGGCCAGGAGAAAAUGCAG
RNAcentral lists this long non-coding RNA (2282 nucleotides) under Gallus gallus (chicken). RNAcentral's name for it is "long non-coding RNA NONGGAT002332". Lineage: Eukaryota; Metazoa; Chordata; Aves; Galliformes; Phasianidae. The record is from RNAcentral.